Molecule: ribosomal RNA, 253 nt
Filed under: uncultured bacterium
Lineage: Bacteria
Description: partial 16S ribosomal RNA
Rfam family: Bacterial small subunit ribosomal RNA
Source: RNAcentral
UACGUAGGGUGCGAGCGUUGUUCGGAAUUAUUGGGCGUAAAGGGCACGCAGGCGGCCUGACAAGUCUGAUGUGAAAGACCUGGGCUUAACUCAGGGAACGCGUUGGAAACUGUCAAGCUAGAGUAUUAGAGGGGGAGUUGGAAUUCCUAGUGUAGGGGUGAAAUCUGUUGAUAUUAGGAAGAACACCGGUGGCGAAGGCGAACUCCUGGCUGAAUACUGACGCUGAGGUGCGAAAGCAUAGGGAGCAAACAGG